AAGUCUGCAGAUUCUGGCCGAUGAUGUCACUGACACAAAGAUGAAAGUGCAAAACAGGUAGCCUUAAAUCAGCUUCCUGGCAAGAACAGCUGCAUGUUGGACAUGGCUUUGCAGAGUACUCUGGAAGCAGCAUGUCUGGGGCUUCUCAUCAGCUCUCUCUGGAAAGUUGCAGAGAGCAAGGACCAAGUGUUUCAGCCUUCCACAGUGUCAUCUUUGGAGGGAGCUGUCGCGGAAAUCUCCUGUAACCACUCUGUGUCCAAUGCUUACAGCUUCUUCUGGUACCUUCGAUUCCCAGGAGGUGCCCCAAGACUUCUUGUUAAGGGCUCAAAGCCUUCUCGGCAGGGACGAUACAACAUGACGUAUGAACGGUUCUCUUCAUCACUGCUCAUACACCAGGUGCAGGAGGCAGAUGCGGCUGUUUACUACUGUGCUGUGGAGGACACAGAGGCAGGGAACCCAUCUAGGGCUGAACAGAAACCGCCAGCCUUCGCAGGAGGCAGAAAGGAGAAGAGCAAUAUCUCUCCCAUCUAGUUUGAUGUUCUCUAAGACUUUUCAUUUCACUGCUCUCAGAAAAAAAAAAUUGAGUCCAGACAGUCUAUCUAUUAGCAAAUGUCUAUAAGAAAAUAUGCUUUUAAGGAGUAAUUCAUUGUCAAUAGCAAUGCUGUAAAGUCAUAUUUCAAAUGGU
This is a non-coding RNA of Nycticebus coucang (slow loris), 685 nucleotides long. Lineage: Eukaryota; Metazoa; Chordata; Mammalia; Primates; Lorisidae. The record is from the annotation of a RefSeq genome assembly.